This 474-nucleotide long non-coding RNA is filed under the name Pan troglodytes (chimpanzee). RNAcentral's name for it is "long non-coding RNA NONPTRT006750". Lineage: Eukaryota; Metazoa; Chordata; Mammalia; Primates; Hominidae. The record is from RNAcentral.
GCGGUCCCAGGUUCUUCUCUUCACUGCACGCUCUUGCCACUCUUCUUUUCUCUCCUGCCCGUGUUCUUCCUGCCGCCUGACCUGGCCCGCCCGCCUUUCCAGUCUGGCCGGGCGGGGGCCUGAAGCACGGCGGCUCGGGCCGUGGGACCGUGGUCACACCCUUUCCAGAAAUUCUUGGCUGGUAACCGCGAAACCGACUGGAGCAGGAGCUGGGAGAACUGGAGAAAACUGCUCUAAUCUCACUUGACUCCAGCUAGGAGCUGAUGCUGCAUCGUAAUAACAUUUGCAGAGCGCUUUCACAGGCCCUGGAGUGACUUGUCUGAGAUUCCUCCAGAACUGAGCCCUUUGUUGGAACCAUACCCCAGCCCAUGGUCCCAUGACUAGGUGGAUAGUACUCCUUGUACCUCCUGCAACCCAGAACCCUGGCUGACCACUUUGAAGGAGGAUGCUCCAGCAGGUAAAACCUCAACCUUA